RNAcentral lists this long non-coding RNA (1216 nucleotides) under Triticum aestivum (bread wheat). RNAcentral describes it as "long non-coding RNA (TAES_LNC009581)". Lineage: Eukaryota; Viridiplantae; Streptophyta; Magnoliopsida; Poales; Poaceae. The record is from RNAcentral.
AAUACAUUUGUCAACAUGCAUUCCUUUGAAUGGUAGCUUAACAACCCAUCACAAAAUGGUAGUUACGGAAGAUGUAUACAAGAGGAGACGACAACAUGUAGUCAAUUUAAAACACAAGUAUAAGAAUUAUACUCUGCUUUAGUGCAAGCCAUUCAAAAAGCAUACUUGAUUCAAGUUUGGAUAUGAGAACACCGUGACAAAAGUUUCUCUUUCUAGGAUUCGUCGAUGCCUCACCGUGCACCUCUCCUAGUCUCCCUUUCCUCCGUACAUUUUUCGCAUCCUCAAUUUCUCCUAGCGUUCCUUCAAACAAGAAAAUGAGAAGAUAUUUUUUUCAAGGGGCAUCAACACAGAACCAUGACCUUCGCAUCUUCGUGAAGACUAUUGGCGAGUGAACCUUCAUGCGGAGCCAUGUUUUCCAUUGACAACGUCCUCCGCCCUGGCCUAUAUCACACAAGUUCUUUUCCAUCAGAUCUACCAUGCCAUAUAACAUGAUGAUUUAAGAAUGAACGUGUAAGUGUUCCUAGCAUGAAAAGCAUAGCAAAUUCGAGUGCCAGAACAUAACAGUGAAGUUGUACACUUUCAUGCGGAGUUGAGCUUCAAUACAAUGCCAGAGCUCUAUCUUCAGCGAACUGGUAAUAUGAAAAUAUCAGUACCAAAAAUAUAAUUGUGAAAUGGUGAGCACGAACUUAACUUUGGAUGUUCAGUGCCAAUUAUGAUGCCCAACUCAGUUGAUGUUACCACGGAGAAUUAUAUAACAAGCAUUGAGCGUUAAGUAGCUUGAAACCUUAUACUUAAGGUCACUUGUCUAUCUGAUUGUAAAUGACAGGAUGCAAUAUUGCAUUAUCAUUACUUAAUUGAAGACUAUAAUUAUAUUUGCGAUUGUUAUUAAAGCAAACUUCAUACACAAAUUCUAGAGCAUCAGAUUUCUCUUCGUAUAGAAGGUCCUAAAAUCAGUGAGCUCUAGAAACUUCAGGCAGAAAAUUAUCGCGAGGGCAUACAAAUUGAAGUAUAAUUCGAAGAAUCAACCCGGGAAACUACAACCAGGAACCAUUUUAUUUCGGCUUUAGUUCCUAAUUUUUUUAAUAUUGACUAUCUAGUGUGGAAAAGAGUAAUUUAUAACCUCUGUGUCCAUAUCGGUAUGUCCCAGUUUCAGUCAUCAUCAUUUCAAUUACAGUUUCCUCUCGUGCAAGCCCCAAAUCAGUAAGCUUCAGCUUCC